This 405-nucleotide ribosomal RNA is filed under the name uncultured prokaryote. Its description in RNAcentral is "bacterial SSU rRNA". It matches the Rfam family "Bacterial small subunit ribosomal RNA", at positions 355 to 776 of the family's 1533-position model. The record is from RNAcentral.
UGGGGAAUAUUGGGCAAUGGGGGAACCCUGACCCAGCAACGCCGCGUGAAGGAAGAAGGUUUUCGGAUUGUAAACUUCUGUCCUUGGUGAAGAGGAAGAGACGGUAGCCAAGGAGGAAGCCCCGGCUAACUACGUGCCAGCAGCCGCGGUAAUACGUAGGGGGCGAGCGUUGUCCGGGAUGAUUGGGCGUAAAGGGCGCGUAGGCGGUUAUUUAAGUCUGGAGUGGAAGUCCACUGUUCAAGGGUGGAAUUGCUUUGGAUACUGGGUGGCUUGAGUGCAGGAGAGGUUAUCGGAAUUCCCGGUGUAGCGGUGAAAUGCGUAGAGAUUGGGAGGAACACCAGUGGCGAAGGCGACUUACUGGGCCGUAACUGACGCUGAGGCGCGAAAGCGUGGGGAGCGAACAGG